GACGAACGCUGGCGGCGUGCUUAACACAUGCAAGUCGAACGGAAAGGGCCUGCAUUUGUGGGGUGCUCGAGUGGCGAAAGGGUGAGUAACACGUGAGUAACCUGCCCUUGACUUUGGGAUAACUUCAGGAAACUGGGGCUAAUACCGGCUAGGAGCUCCUGCUGCAUGGUGGGGGUUGGAAAGUUUCGGCGGUUGGGGAUGGACUCGCGGCUUAUCAGCUUGUUGGUGGGGUAGUGGCUUACCAAGGCUCUGACGGGUAGCCGGCCUGAGAGGGUGACCGGCCACAUUGGGACUGAGAUGCGGCCCAGACUCCUACGGGAGGCAGCGGUGGAGAAUAUUGCACAAUGGGCGGAAGCCUUAUGCAACAACGCCGCGUGGGGGAUGACGGCCUUCGGGUUGUAAACCGCUUUCGCCUGUAACGAAACGUGAGUGACGGUAAUGGGUAAAGAAGCACCGGCUAACUACGUG
This 468-nucleotide ribosomal RNA is filed under the name uncultured bacterium. Its description in RNAcentral is "partial 16S ribosomal RNA". It matches the Rfam family "Bacterial small subunit ribosomal RNA", at positions 28 to 507 of the family's 1533-position model. The record is from RNAcentral.